CCUACGGGAGACAGCAGUGAGGAAUAUUGGUCAAUGGGCGUGAGCCUGAACCAGCCAAGUAGCGUGAAGGAUGAAGGCUCUACGGGUUGUAAACUUCUUUUAUAAAGGAAUAAAGUGAGGCACGUGUGCCUUUUUGCAUGUACCUUAUGAAUAAGCAUCGGCUAACUCCGUGCCAGCAGCCGCGGUAAUACGGAGGAUCCGAGCGUUAUCCGGAUUUAUUGGGUUUAAAGGGUGCGUAGGUUGGUUUGUAAGUCAGCUGUGAAAGUUUGCGGCUCAACCGUAAAAUUGCAGUUGAAACUGGCAGUCUUGAGUACGGUUGAGGUAGGCGGAAUGCGUGGUGUAGCGGUGAAAUGCUUAGAUAUCACGAAGAACUCCGAUUGCGAAGGCAGCUUACUAAGCCACCACUGACAUUGAUGCACGAAAGCGUGGGUAUCAAACAGGAUUAGAUACCCGGGUAGUC
Molecule: ribosomal RNA, 460 nt
Filed under: uncultured bacterium
Lineage: Bacteria
Description: partial 16S ribosomal RNA
Rfam family: Bacterial small subunit ribosomal RNA
Source: RNAcentral